Molecule: long non-coding RNA, 1090 nt
Organism: Cyprinus carpio (common carp)
Lineage: Eukaryota; Metazoa; Chordata; Actinopteri; Cypriniformes; Cyprinidae
Exons: 5
Source: RefSeq, a predicted model, not a curated record
AAAGGAGGACUCUCAUAAUGCAGCGAGAAAGAGAGAUAGUUUUGAUUUAGGCUUGUAAGAAACCACUCAAAUUAUCCUGAAAAUCCUAAGAAGUAUGAAAGAUUUGCAUGCACUUUCUCUUCAAAUAUCCAGUAUUAUAAUACUGCUCUGAAUUCCAAUCCAUCGAUGCAACAUCACAUUUUCAAAGCACCAAUUGCUACAAUAAAUACUCCCACAAACAACAACACAACAGGCUUUGUGCGAUCUUGCGGUUUCUCCUUUCAUGCCCUCGGCUCGACUCUCUCCCACGCCGGCCAAAGGCAAACCCAAUCAAGCGCUCCUGAAUGCACCAAUUGUUGGGAGACUCGGGACAAUUUAGAGCAUACAAAAGAUCCAUGAGCGAGAUUCAUGUGGAAUAAAUAUGCAUUAGAUGUGAGCCGGCAGUCUAGCAGGGAGAGAAAAAUGACAGGCAGCCCUGUUUUUGCAGAUGAUUCAGUCGAGCAGAAAUGUGCUGCGCUCAAACAGGAUUCUUAUCUCCCAUCCGUGUCAGAGUCCAGGCGGCCCGUGUCAGAGCCUGACCGCGCUUGGACAAACAUCCCCGGGGCCUGACAUCACUGCAGACCUUCCUUUACUAUCUGCUGGCGGACACAGAGCUUCUGACCGCAUGACAUCGCAGGAUAAGGGAAGUUUGAUUUUCCUCUAAUACUGAAAUGGUGGUGCCGCAUUCUCUUGGAAAAUGUUGCUCUUGAAAGGAAACAUGUCCUCACAGUGUGCAAUUGCUGGAAGAGCAGGAGACUGAAAUCUGCAGCAGGGAGCCAAGGAUAAAAAAGACCUGCACACUGCAGUUGGAUGGCUGCAGAAAAACCUCUAUGUCUUAAGAGGUUUGGUGAAAGAGCUGAGGUUCCUCCAACUGACAGAGGAAGACCAGAAGAAAGCUCUUCUCGCAAUUUUGAUAUUUUUCCUGGAUUUUGGGUUUAGGCAACAUCUCAAUUUUUACUGAUUUACUUUGAAUUCUAACGUUAACUUACAUAAUUUAGAUUUAUUUCCUGGAUUUUGUGAUUACAUCUUACAAUUUUUACAUUUCUGCCACAGAAUAAAAAUAGUAAAGGUU